RNAcentral lists this ribosomal RNA (659 nucleotides) under uncultured fungus. Its description in RNAcentral is "eukaryotic LSU rRNA". It matches the Rfam family "Eukaryotic large subunit ribosomal RNA", at positions 24 to 664 of the family's 3401-position model. The record is from RNAcentral. Lineage: Eukaryota; Fungi.
CCCGCUGAACUUAAGCAUAUCAAUAAGCGGAGGAAAAGAAACUAACAAGGAUUCCCCUAGUAACUGCGAGUGAAGCGGGAAAAGCUCAAAUUUAAAAUCUGGCGGUCCUUGUGGCCGUCCGAGUUGUAAUUUAGAGAAGUGUUAUCCGCGCUGGACCGUAUACAAGUCUCCUGGAAUGGAGCGUCAUAGAGGGUGAGAAUCCCGUCUUUGAUACGGACUGCCAGGGCAUUGUGAUGCGCUCUCAAAGAGUCGAGUUGUUUGGGAAUGCAGCUCAAAAUGGGUGGUAAAUUCCAUCUAAAGCUAAAUAUUGAGGAGAGACCGAUAGCGAACAAGUACCGUGAGGGAAAGAUGAAAAGAACUUUGGAAAGAGAGUUAAACAGUACGUGAAAUUGCUGAAAGGGAAACGCUUGAAGUCAGUCGCGUCGUUCAGGACUCAUGCUUGCUUUGCUUGGUGUACUUCCUGUUCGACGGGUCAGCAUCAAUUUUGGUCGGUGGAUAAAGGCUUAGAGAAUGUGGCAUCCUCGGAUGUGUUAUAGCUCUGGGUCGCAUACAUCGGCUGGGAAUGAGGAACUCAACACGCCGCAAGGCCGGGUACUUGUACCACGUACGUGUUUAGGAUGCUGGCAUAAUGGCUUUAAUCGACCCGUCUUGAAACACGG